AGAGUUUGAUCGUGGCUCAGAAUCAACGCUGGCGGCGUGCCUAACACAUGCAAGUCGAACGCGAAAGUCCCGCAAGGGAUAAGUAGAGUGGCAAACGGGUGAGUAACGCGUGGGUGACCUGCCUUCGAGCGGGGGAUAACGUUCCGAAAGGGACGCUAAUACCGCAUAACAUCCUGCCUUUGAACAGGCGGAGAUCAAAGCCGGGGAUCGCAAGACCUGGCACUCGAAGAGGGGCCCGCGUCCGAUUAGCUAGUUGGUGGGGUAAUGGCUCACCAAGGCAACGAUCGGUAGCCGGCCUGAGAGGGCGGACGGCCACACUGGGACUGAGGACACGGCCCAGACUCCUACGGGAGGCAGCAGUGGGGAGUUGUUCGCAAUGGGCGCAAGCCUGACGACGCAACGCCGCGUGGAGGAUGAAGAUCUUCGGUCGUAAACUCCUGUCGAAUGGGACGAACGGAUCGCGGGGUAACAUCCCGUGGUCGUGACGGUACCGUUAAAGGAAACCCGGCUAACUCCGUGCCAGCUGCCGCGGUAAU
RNAcentral lists this ribosomal RNA (536 nucleotides) under uncultured Acidobacteriota bacterium. Its description in RNAcentral is "bacterial SSU rRNA". It matches the Rfam family "Bacterial small subunit ribosomal RNA", at positions 8 to 524 of the family's 1533-position model. Lineage: Bacteria; Pseudomonadati; Acidobacteriota. The record is from RNAcentral.